Molecule: ribosomal RNA, 368 nt
Filed under: uncultured bacterium
Lineage: Bacteria
Description: bacterial SSU rRNA
Rfam family: Bacterial small subunit ribosomal RNA
Source: RNAcentral
AUUGAACGCUGGCGGCAGGCCUAACACAUGCAAGUCGAACGGUAACAGGAAACAGCUUGCUGUUUCGCUGACGAGUGGCGGACGGGUGAGUAAUGUCUGGGAAACUGCCUGAUGGAGGGGGAUAACUACUGGAAACGGUAGCUAAUACCGCAUAACGUCGCAAGACCAAAGAGGGGGACCCUCGGGCCUCUUGCCAUCGGAUGUGCCCAGAUGGGAUUAGCUUGUGGUGGGUAACGGCUCACCAAGGCGACGAUCCCUAGCUGGUCUGAGAGGAUGACCAGCCACACUGGAACUGAGACACGGUCCAGACUCCGUACGGGAGCAGCAGUGGGAAUAUGCACAAGUGGGCGACAAGCCUGAUGCAGCCA